This 67-nucleotide transfer RNA is filed under the name Onychostoma barbatum (bearded shoveljaw carp). RNAcentral's name for it is "tRNA-Cys". It matches the Rfam family "tRNA". Rfam says of the family: Transfer RNA (tRNA) molecules are approximately 80 nucleotides in length. Their secondary structure includes four short double-helical elements and three loops (D, anti-codon, and T loops). The record is from RNAcentral. Lineage: Eukaryota; Metazoa; Chordata; Actinopteri; Cypriniformes; Cyprinidae.
AGCCCCGUGGUGUAGAGCACAUCGAAUUGCAAAUUCGAAGACGCAGGUUAAUACUCUGCCGGGGCUU